Non-coding RNA from Kogia breviceps (pygmy sperm whale), 701 nucleotides. The record is from RefSeq and is a predicted model, not a curated record. NCBI's taxonomy places the organism in Eukaryota, Metazoa, Chordata, Mammalia, Artiodactyla, Physeteridae.
GCAUUAUGUCUGAAAAACAACGUUCAUACCAUAAUUUAAAAUACUUUAUUGCUAGAAAAUGCCAACCAUCAGUGAGCAAAUGCUGUUGGAAAAAUGGUGCCGAUAGACUUGCUCGAUGCAGGGUUGCAACAAACCUUCAAUUUGUAAAACAUGCAAUAUCUGCGAAGCACGAUACGAAACCCAAUAAAACAAGGUAUGCCUGUAUUAGAAAUGGAUGCUGAAUUUCACCAAAUUCCCUUUCAACAUUUAUUGAAAUAAUCCAGUGUCCUUCCUAUUAUACCCAAGCUGCCACGCUCUCUAACAAAUGGAUUUCUUACUUUUUCCCUUUCUGUUUUCUUUCUUUCACCAAUUCAUUUUCACUCUCUUUAUUUCCUCCUCAGCAGCUUCUGCCACUAAGCCUUCCUGAGGAUCCUGUGUUCCUGCAUUGCCUGUGGUGGUAGAAACUUAGAGCCUGCUAAUCCCUGGAUUCAAGAAAGAUUUAGAAAGUCUUAACUUGACAAUACAAGGGGGCAAAACAAAGUUAAGAUAUGAAAUGCAAACAAGAAGGAAUAGGUAUAAGUAAAUGGUUCUUGGUAGAUGCCUUUCUCUGGAACAAAGGAGAUGGUUCUGGCUUCCUUCCAUUUCUCUCUAGCUUGGUGCCAAGGCAGAAAUGCACCCUUUCCCCAGGCCUGUGGCACAUUCUGAAAUUCUUCAUGUCCGCU